RNAcentral lists this long non-coding RNA (3838 nucleotides) under Sus scrofa (pig). Its description in RNAcentral is "lncRNA (ENSSSCG00000055303.1)". Lineage: Eukaryota; Metazoa; Chordata; Mammalia; Artiodactyla; Suidae. The record is from RNAcentral.
AGUCUUUUGCUUUCUUUUUAAUGACCCCGGCCUCGCUCUUGUUCACGGGACCACAAUGCUCCGCGCCUCUUGUCAUUUGGAGGCGCCCGAAGACUUCAGCCAGAGGUACAUGAACCACAGAUGUUCAUCACCCUUCUCAGGACCACGUUCCUUUUUGGCAGCCCAGGUGGGAUGACCAGAAAUGAAGUAAGUAGAACAAGGCAACCCUGGUACUGCCCUGCUCAGGCUCCACAGCUCACUGUACACAUUCUGCUUAGCAUUUUAAACUAAAAGAGCUUCUGGUGAAAGCAAAUUACAUCCUGAAACUUUUCUCCAGAAUAGGUAAGUUCUCAUUUAGUCUGAAACCUAUGUUCCCAUAGUUUUGCCUUCUUAAUCUAUUUCCCAUCUUCAAAACCUAAACACACCUUAUCCAUCCUUAUAGACUCUGCCCAAGUUCCAGCUUCUGUGAAGAUCUGACCCAAAUUUGAAUCCAAAUGAAUUUUUCUUUCUGAUGCUUCUGUGACGUGAAUAUUUUAUUGCUUAGUAGUUAUUCCAUGAACAUGUAUCCUGCUCUAGAGGUUAUGGAAUAUCUAUAUCAUUUAUUGUUUUUGGAAUCUAAAGCAUUACCAGCUCACUUCUGGGCUAAUAGGAGGUGCUAAAAGUAGGCAAAAAGAGGGCCCUAUUCACAUAUACUUGCUCAAAGUGGAAAACCUGCUGGAACCCUCUAAGAUGAAUCUUUUUUCUUCUCCAUAUAAAUCUUUAAUGACAUUUUGGUUUUUAUUUCUGCCAUUAAUUUAAAAAGUGCUAGGAAAAUAAUUUCUUAUUUGCACAUGAAAUAAUGCAGUGCUUUUCAGAAUAAAAACACAUGAGUCAUUUUUGUGAUGAAUAAUUUGGUAUAUUUGGGUAUAUUCUAUUUCUGGAUAAAUAGUUCAAAUAGGAUUUUAGUAAUGCAUGUGUGAUACAUACUUAAAAACAAAAAUAAAGUAUCUUCUUGAGUGUUUGCCUUUGUUGUAAAUUCAGUCAUUCAAAUUGUUGUCUCUCAAGACCCAAAAAUGCUAGGGCAUUGCCAGCUUUGAGUUUAUCCUGAAAAAAUGAAAAGGAAAGAUUUUAAUUCAAAGCAUUAUUUAAUGAUUUUUAAUAAAUAUUUAUUAAAUAUCUUUAUCAGAUUUAAAAAAAUCAAUUCUCUAAUGUGAUAGAAAAAUAUUAUUAGCAGGUUAAACAGUAAGUCUCUUUGCCCAUGUUUUACCCUACUACUAUUUUUAAAAUUAUAGUCAUAUAUUUGUAUUGAAUAAUCUUUUAAAAGCAAAAAUAUAAAUGAUGUAUGGUAUAUUUGUGCUUUUAUGAUUUUCCCUGCUUCUCAAAUAUGUCGACAAUCAUGGACAAAACAGCUGGAGUUUUUGAAUUUCUGAACAUGGAAAUAAUAUGUAUUUAUGUUACAAGCAGUAUGUGGAAAAUGUGUAUUAGUGUUAUACUUACUUUUGUAAGAACAGUUUUUCUUUUUAGGGCCACACCUGUGGAAUAUGGAAGUUCUCAGGCUAGGGACUGAACUGGAGCUGCAGCUGCCAGCCUACACCACAGCCACAGCAACGCCAAAUCGAAGCUGCAUCUGUGGCCUAUGCCACAGCUUGCAGCAACACUGGAUCCUUAACCCACUGAGUGAGGCCGGGGUGGAACCUGCAUCCUCAUAGAUACUAGUUGGAUUCUUAACCCACUAAGCCCCAAUGGGAACUCCCUGCAAAUGCAUUUAAAUAAGAUAAUAAAUAUAGUAAUAAGCUUAAACAAAAAAUAGAAUUACAAUAUGACCCAACAAUUCCACUCCUAGUCAUAUAUAAAAGACUUAAAGGCGUUCCUGCUGUGGCAUAACAGGAUCAGUGACAUCUCUGGUGUGCUGGGACACAGGUUUGAUCCCUGGCUCAGCACAGUGCCUUAAGGAUCCAGCUUUGCUGCAGCUGCUGCUCAGAUCUGACCCCUGGCCCGGGAACUCCAUAUGUCCCGGGGCACCCAAAAAAGGAAAAAAAUAAUUAAAAACAUGUUCAUAACAACACUAUUCACAAUAUCCAAAAUACAGAAACAGCCUAAGCACACAUCAACAGACGAAUAUAUUUUUAAACCUGAUAUAUACAUAAGUGGAAUAUUCAGCCACCAAAAGAAAUGGAGUUCUUUUUUUUCUUCCAGUUUUAUUGAGAUAUAAUUGAUACACAACACUGUAUAAGGUUUUUUGAAAACUCGAAAGUGAUAAGAUAUAAAAGUAAAUCAUAGCAGACAUAUAAUAGUAAUUAUUAUUAUUUCAUUAAAGUCUUAAUCCAGAUACUUGGGGUAAUCUGCUUUCAGUUUAAUUUUGGUUAACAUUAUACAAAGUUUUUCAUUUUCAAACUUUGAUUUAAAAAGAAAAAAAAUCUUAGCUUCCUGCUUUAAUAAGUAAAUAUUUAAUAAUUCAAGACUUCUGGUGCCUUAAAGGUGGGUAAGUGCGAAAGGAGGCACUUUCCAGUUCAUAACUUGCAACUAGUACAUAUCGAAGAGGACUCUUCUUGGCAUCUAUUGUGUUUCAAGCUUGCUAUGAUGAGUUGUAUCUUUAACGACUAAAGCAGAGAAUUAGAGUCAAAGAGAACUUUUGGAUUCUAGGUUAGAAGAAAGCCAAGACUUAUGUAAAAGGAUUAUGACUAAGACUUUUCUAAGAUUUGUAAGAAUUUUUAUGUCCCCAUGUUUUCAUUUUGGGCCAUCCCUGUCCCCUGGUAGUGAUUGAAAGUGGUCUUAGGAAGAACUUGUUUUAUUGGGAGUGGGUGUAGAAUGGGAAGAGAGAGGAAGUCUGAGGACACUGCAUCUCAUUUUAAACUUAUUUUGGCUCAGGACUUAAAGGGCAGAAUAGGCAGUGGCAGCAUUAAGGCACAUUUACUCACCCUAAAAGUCAAAUGCUACAAGAAAAAAAAAAUCCAGUUACUUGAUUUUUAUGGAUGCUUGAGUCCUGUUAAUCAAGACUUUAGUCUCAAUAGUGAAAUAACUAGGAUCGUUACAACUUUUGAGAUUGGUAGAUUUGUAAUAGAAAUAUUAAAUGAAAAAAAAUUUUAAAUUAGAAAAUUUUUCUUAUUCAUCUAACAUGCAAACCUAAAUAUAUUAUUAUAAUGUGCUUCUUUACAGUCUUCUUUCUUGUCUUUAUGAAUUUAGUUGUACUAGGUUGACUUUCAGCUUUUAAAAUUUCCUUCACCCUUUAAUAGGUCACCUAUUUCUGGAGAUCGAGUAACAAUUUUAGGAAUAUUAAGUGUAAUGGUUUCUCUGUUCUUUGCUAUCACAUAUCGAAGUGCUCUGAACCCAAACACAACUAGAGCAGGAAAAUUCAGGAAGAAGACCAAACACACCUUAGUUUCUUCAUCAAAUUCUUCCAUGGAGUCUAUCAGUUUCCCAGGUUCCAGCUCACCUAGUGGAAAGGGGUAAUCAGUUCCCAAAAUGACUUUAUCCUGAAAAAAGAAAAAAACUUUUAUCUCUAAUUUUGUAGAGAAUCAAAGAACCUCUUGUAAACUUAGUUAUAUUCACUUAUUACAAGCACUUCUAUGGUAAAAUAACAAAUUUCUUCCUGAUUAGUAGAAAUAAACUGAUCUAAAAUUUUAAAGAUUAAAUGGAUUUAAAAUUUAUUCUGACAUUUUCUCCAGCAGGUGUCGCUAUUAGGUCUCUCAAAGCUGCAAAUGAAUCCUCAUUUCCAUUAUUUAUUUAUUUUUAAAUAACUAAAAUACAGAAUACUCAUAUAUAAGAAGCAGACAUUUGUUGAGUAAAACAUGCUGAUUCUUCAGAUGAAAUUAGGGAUUCUAUAUUUCUUAGAAUGAUGCAUUGCAAUUGAUCCCACAAUUUUUGAAAAUAUAACCAUAAU